This is a long non-coding RNA of Erinaceus europaeus (western European hedgehog), 346 nucleotides long. RefSeq lists it as uncharacterized. The record is from RefSeq and is a predicted model, not a curated record. Lineage: Eukaryota; Metazoa; Chordata; Mammalia; Eulipotyphla; Erinaceidae. The transcript is spliced from 4 exons.
CUGCCUCGUCCAGUUUGAGGACUUCGCCAAUGUCGAUGCCUUCCAUCUGCUACACAAGUACCUAGACAAGUACUGCAUGUUCAAUGAUGACAUCCAAGUGGGGCAGGGCUCUGAAGAGUUGGUGUUCCAGUAUACAUGGUGAGGUCGUCUUCCCAGGGAAGUCAAGGCACAGCCUCUGUGGUGGCCGGGAUCCUUGCAACUCUGCUGAUCACCAGAAGCCGGCUCUCUAGCCAUGUGUUUGUCUUCCAAGGAGCCGGGGAGGCUGCCCUGGGCAUCGCUCUCCUCCUGGUCAUGGCCCUGGAGAAGGAAGUCGUCCCUGCUGCUGAGGCCACCAAGAAGAUCUGGA